CGCUCACAGGCUGCCCGGCUCGGACGCCCGCACUUCCUGGUCGGAACGGGCCUAGCGGCGGCGGGGUCCCACCGCACUCUCAGGGGCCGCGCUCGCUGCCCCCGCCCUCCUCCCGCUAACGCUCGGGGCGGAGCCGGGCGGGCGCGCGGGGCUCCCGCCCCUCUCCCGGCGGUCACCUGGGGCCCGGCGCAGCAGGUGUCUGGUCUGGCGUCCCGCGCCGGGGACUCGGAGCGCGAGCCGGGACCCUCGACGCGUCGGGUGAGCCCAGGGACUUGGCGGCAGGGCCCACCCCCGGAAUUCCAGAGGCGACCGCAAGGACCCAGCUGGCGGAGGAAGGUCCAGCAGGGAGGGAACGCGCUCGCUUCGCCCCACCUUGUGCAAAUGACUCGGAGCUUAGUUGCAUGGCAUUUUGGAAUGCCAGGUACCAAAAGUGAGAUUACUGAAGGCAGUAAAACUGAGAUUAUCAGCCAAGAAAGACCUACUGGAGAAAGCAAAGGAUGGAAGCGAAAGUGAAGCAGUGUUUUAUCCUAUGUACUUCGGCAGACCUUCUGCAAUUCAGCUAAAACCAUGACUGCUCUUUCUUCAGAGAACUGCUCUUUUCAGUACCAGUUACAUCAAGCAAAUCAGCCUCUAGAUGGUUUUACAAGAAACAAGUGUUGACGAGGAUGUGGAGAAAAAGGAACCCUAUGGCACAGUUGGUGGGAAUGCAAACUGGUGCAGCCACUGAGGUAAACAGUAUAGAGAUUCCUCAAAAAAUUAAAAAUAGAACUAUCCUACAAUCCAGUAAUCACACUACUGGGUAUUUACCCAAAGGAUAUGAAAACACUAAUUCGAAAGGAUAUAUCCAUCACUGUUUACUGCAGCAUUAUUUACAACAGCCAAAUUAUGGAAGCAGCCAUGUCCAUCAACAGAUGAAUGGAUAAAGAAGAUGUGAUACACACACACACUGAAAUAUUAUUCAGCCAUACAAAAGAAUGAAAUCCUGCUAUUUGCAACAAUAUAGAUAGAGCUAGAGAGUAUAAUGCUAAGUGAAAUAAGUCAGAGAAAGAUAAAUACCAUACGACUUCACUCAUGUGUGGAAUUUAACAAACAAAUGAACAAAGAAAAAAAAAUAGAGACAAACUAAAAAACAGACUCUCAACUAUAGAGAAUAAGCAGAUGGUUACCAGAGAGGAUUGGAUUGGGGGGAACGGGUGAAAUAGGUGAUGGGGAUUAAGAGUACACUUUUCUUGAUAAGCAGGGAGUAAUAUACAGAAGUGUUGAAUCACUAUACUGUACACCUGAAACUAAUAUAACACUGUACGUUAACUAUACAGGAGUUAAACUUUUUUUUAAUUAAGUAAAUAAAAAAUAAAAGCUAUUGGUUUUACCAAUACAAUGGAAGACCAGCACAUAAUGAAGAUGUUAAUCAAAUGUCAAUUAACCAAAAAAAUUUAUAUUAUUAUCUGUUUUAGCUGUUGGGCUCUUUUGAUUUCUCUUUUUUCAAGCUACAAUACUGAUUUUUUUUUAACUCAUGAAACUCACAUUAAAAAAUUUUUAGAAGUGUUGUUCUUGUUCAAGUAAUAGACAUCUUCUGUUUUGCUCUGCCUGUUAAUAAAGUGAAUGCAACUAUUUUCAACAAGUUUAUCCCACCUGGUGCUAUUAACUGGUGAAUACUUGAUGUCCGGGUGACAGCUGUGCUUCGUGAUUCCAGACUUGGACUUUCUCCCUUCUUAUUACUUUCUGGAGAAGGAUCUCGUUGGCUGAUUUUAGAACUGGUCACUGUUGUUUUGUUAUGACAAAUUGUCAAUGACUGAGUUUGACUAGUGCUUUUUGGCGGACCAUUCUGUGAGCUAGAUAAUACACCCAACUUCUGGCUGCGUAAUGUUAAAUUCUGAACCUAAGAACCACACAACAAAAAAUAAGGAUGAAACAGAUGGUAUUAACUGAGAUGUGAUAAUCAUUACCAUUAUAACAACAAUGACAAUACAUUUAUAUUGUUUUUUUACACAUCAAGUUCCAAGCACUUGAAACGACUGAUUCAUUCCAAAAGAAAGGGGAGUUAUUAUUCUAAGUAAUCAUAUUAAGUAAAAAUUUUUUAAAAAGACAUUAAGGGAAUCAUUAAGAACAAAAUGAAAACAGUAUAUAUACAUAUUAAAUGAACUAUGAAUAUGAGGAAAUCACUCUGCAACAUACUGCAUUUUGAAGUUACCAGCUCAGAGACAGCCAAAGGGAAGGAGAGAAAAGGGUACUCCAGAUAAAAAGGAAAACCUGAGCAAAGCCUCAGAGGCAGAAGAGCCCAGGAUGCAUUAGGGAAGGAGCAAUUCCUUCAACUCUGCUCUGACUUCUCCAGGCCAGGACUGUGAAACAUUGAAGGUUGCUAGUCCUUUAUACUCUUGUGAGAAGUUACUACAUACAGUUAGGAGUAUGCAUAUACAAUACUGUCAUCCUCAUAAAGAUCAGAAAGAGAACUGCAAAAAAAAAAAAAAGCUACCCAUUCUACAGAGAUUAUAAGGGAAUACUCAUCUUGUAAAUUAGAAAACUCAUUCAUCAAAUCACCUACCCAUUAUGAUAAUUAUGAAAAGCAUUUCCUAUCAACUCCUUUUUAAAAUCCUGUUGUUAUGGAAUACUCACUUGGCUUUGAGAACUAGAUCUGAUGAACUGAAAAGACUGUGCAUGGCCUUGAAAUGGCUUACGUCAUGGCUCCUGUCUACACCUGGGGCUAUUCUAAACAUACCACCAGUCCGGUGGUGGCAAGAUCAUCCCAAUGACUUUCACCUGAGGUUUAUAACAUUCCCAAACGGCAAGGCAGAAAAUGCCUCUCCAAUAGCUGCCUGACCUUUUACCUAUCUGGAAAUGAAUGUAUUAAAUACAUUUAUGCUAGCACUAACCCUGAGAAAGAAACUGAAGCAAAAGAUUCUAAAGUGACAAAGCAAAUGAGAUACUGCUGCUUAAUAAACAUUCUUCAGUUUUCAUGUGUGUUCUGCCUCUACACCUGUUAUCAUUAACUGAUACUCACAGGCUAAACCUUCUCUUCCAAAGUGCCAAAUGCAGUGGGUAGCCAACAGCAGGUGCUAAACAAAUUUUCACUUCAGAUCAGUUGAGGCUUGAUCAGACUAUUCUAAGCUACUGAAAGAAUUUUCUGAGACCAUAUGGAGCAUCUUCUCGGAUUUUUGUCAAAUAUUUCAUAGCAAUGUAGGUGGACUAAUAAUUGUUGUAUUACUGAAAUUUAAUACAAACAUAAAAUGUGCUAAAAUCCAGGUUUCUCAGCUAGCCACUCAAAGCCCUCCACAGUCAAGGCCCAAACCACCUCAAGCCCCAUCUUCCACUACUUCAAUCCACAAUAUUCACAUUCUAGCCAAACUGUUCUGCUCACCCUUCUCCAAACACAACUUAUACUUCCUCCAUUUAGAGCCCUUGCUCAAGUUUCUCUUGCCUAAAAUGCCAUUUUUCCUUAUAGCUGUCUCCUGAAGCCCAAUCCUUUCUUCAAGGCCCAGUAAAAAUCCUACUCUCUCCCAGAGAAACCUCUCCAAAGUCCCUGGUUAGAAAUAAUUUCUCCUCGGGCGCCUAGGUGGCUCAGUUGGUUAAGCGACUGCCUUCGGCUCAGGUCAUGAUCCCGGAGUCCUGGGAUCGAGUCCCACAUCGGGCUCCCAGCUUGGCGGGGAGCCUGCUUCUCCCUCUGACCCUAUCCCCUCUCAUGCUGUUUCCCUCUCUCUCUCUCUCUCUC
Molecule: RNA transcript, 3706 nt
Organism: Mirounga angustirostris (Northern elephant seal)
Lineage: Eukaryota; Metazoa; Chordata; Mammalia; Carnivora; Phocidae
Gene: GPR160
Gene name: G protein-coupled receptor 160
Exons: 5
Source: RefSeq, a predicted model, not a curated record